This 500-nucleotide ribosomal RNA is filed under the name uncultured bacterium. Its description in RNAcentral is "partial 16S ribosomal RNA". It matches the Rfam family "Bacterial small subunit ribosomal RNA", at positions 29 to 523 of the family's 1533-position model. The record is from RNAcentral.
AUUGAACGCUGGCGGAAUGCUUUACACAUGCAAGUCGAACGGCAGCACGGGGGCAACCCUGGUGGCGAGUGGCGAACGGGUGAGUAAUACAUCGGAACGUGCCCAGUCGUGGGGGAUAACGUAGCGAAAGUUACGCUAAUAUCGCAUACGAUCUACGGAUGAAAGCGGGGGACCGGAAGGCCUCGCGCGAUUGGAGCGGCCGAUGUCAGAUUAGGUAGUUGGGGAGGUAAAGGCUCACCAAGCCGACGAUCUGUAGCUGGUCUGAGAGGACGACCAGCCACACUGGGACUGAGACACGGCCCAGACUCCUACGGGAGGCAGCAGUGGGGAAUUUUGGACAAUGGGCGCAAGCCUGAUCCAGCCAUUCCGCGUGCAGGACGAAGGCCUUCGGGUUGUAAACUGCUUUUGUACGGAACGAAAAGGCUCUGGUUAAUACCCGGGGCUAAUGACGGUACCGUAAGAAUAAGCACCGGCUAACUACGUGCCAGCAGCCGCCGUAA